RNAcentral lists this unclassified non-coding RNA (1138 nucleotides) under Nilaparvata lugens (brown planthopper). RNAcentral describes it as "uncharacterized LOC120355734, transcript variant X1". The record is from RNAcentral. Lineage: Eukaryota; Metazoa; Arthropoda; Insecta; Hemiptera; Delphacidae.
CAUCAACAGUCGUCAGUCUUGUUUGAAACAGAUAACAGAGUUUCGAAAAUUUGCAUAAUAUGUACAUGACUAUUAUUUUAUAAACCACUAUAAUUUUAAUUCGUGUUUUUACUGUUGGUUAUGGUAUUAGUUAUAAAAUGAAGUAGCAAUAAUGUAGCAUACCUAAUAAAAAAAUCUUUAUUAUAACAAGAAAGAAACUGACUUAUAUGUUGAUAACAAUAGCAUUAGGCUACUACUGCCUAUAUCGUACCUAUAUUUUGAGUUUUCUGUGGAGAACGAAUGGCUCAAGUUAAUGAAGCUAAUGAAAUAUCAAAAACCUACCAAAAAUAAAAAUGCCAUUUAUGUCUGCCUGUCACCACAUAGAAAGCUUUCCGAAAGACACAACUCCUUGGUGAACCUAUUGUACUGCAUUAUAAAAGCGGAAGAAGGAGGUGAAAUCAACUUGCCGACUGUUUAGCUGUGGUAAAAGCUCUCAAAUCCAUGAAUCCAGGAACCUAUUCAAUUCUCAAGAACAUCUCUGUCAUAAUGUGGUCGGACCCGUUCACCAAGGAAGGUCGCAGUAAUCAAAGCAUUCAUUUUACUCCUAUUAUCAAGCACAUAGAAGACUGGCUUAUGAUGGCGAAAGACUUUUGAAGGCGGUUACCUUGAUUGGGAUCAUAUCUAUUAAACCUUCGAAUCCUGCACUCAAAAGUAAAUGUGAUACCAUUCAAAUGGAAUAAGAUUGAUUUGAAUUGGAAUUUGUUAUUCCUGUAUCAUAGUGCAUUUUUCUUCUAGUUACCCUACGUAUUGUACAUUAUUGUAAUAAAGCACUAGCUGUUCCAUAGUAGAAGUCUUUGAAAUAAAAGGUUUCUUUUUCAAGUUAGUGUCACAUUUUAUAUUUUUUAUCCAUUGUAUACGGUAUAUCCAUUUAGUUUUAGAACAUUGUAUUAACACUACUAUUGUUUCAAAAAGAGUCUGAAUGUAAUUUAGAAGAUGAUUCUAUCGUAUGAUUCUUCAACGAAUCCAUCAUAACUUACAAAAAACUACAGCAUUUGUUCUAUUUACUUGUCAAUAAUCGUAGUUGCAGAAGCAUUUGUAUUUCCAAAACCAAAUUUGGUAUUUAAUUAUGAAGUAUGAGUAAAGACAUAUUCGCCUACAA